This 1128-nucleotide ribosomal RNA is filed under the name Triticum aestivum (bread wheat). Its description in RNAcentral is "partial small subunit ribosomal RNA". Lineage: Eukaryota; Viridiplantae; Streptophyta; Magnoliopsida; Poales; Poaceae. The record is from RNAcentral.
AUGCUAGCCAGACACUAUCCGUUCGCUAGCCAGAUACGAGUUGGACAGAGGUUGUAUAUUGGUCAGAUAAUAGCCGGCCUCUGGUCAAAUAACGACCAGACGCUAGCUGCUCUUCGCUCCGCAUUGAGUGUUGCGCUCCUCCCUCCAUGGCUCCCUGCCCGUUGCUGCUCUCCACCAACCGCGCUGCGUCCCAGCACUCGGCCGUCGCUGCUCCUCCAACUACGACGGCCGGCUCCUGCUACGCCGCACCUCACUCCGUCCUCCCGUGCAGGCCGGCUUCGGCUCAGCUUCCUGCGUUCGCUCGCGGCUCUGCCCCGUCCGGCUUCCGGGCUCCGCACGUGGCUGCGUCCGCCUGGCCUCCGGCCCGUACGUGCCGGCUCCCGCGCCUCAGCCGGCGCCCCGUCCGGCUCCACGCGCUUCGCUGACUCCGGCUGCGCGCCUCUCGCCCGUGCGGCGCCAAGGCCCCAGCGCUGGCCGCCUCCUCCCCCGCGCGCUCUGCUUCGGCCUCCUGUGCCGAGCGCCCGCUCCGCGCUCCCGCCGGUUCCCCGCGCGGCCCAGCCGCCUCCGAGGCCGGCCUCCCGCGACAUCCCGCGCCCUCCGUGCCGCCCGGGUCCUCCGCGUCCGUUCCCGACUCCCGAGCCGCCAACCUGCCGGCUCCAGGCUCCUGCCGGGUCGCCUCCUCUUGCGCCAUCCCGCCUCGGCCUCGGCCGGCUCCGGCUGCGCCCACCCGGCCUCACUCUCGCGCGCCCCGGCCUCUCCCGCGCUCUAGAGCCCCCCUGGGAUCUCCUCCGCCUGCCCCGUCCGCGUGGCUCUGCUCCGCCACGGAUCCCGCUCGCCGCUCCUCCCCGCGUGCGGCCCCGGCCCCGGCCUCCUCAGUUCGGCUGGCAGCGCCGCCUCGUGCCGGCCUCCACCGAGCGCGGUCGCGGCCCGGCUCUCCCGCAGUCGGCCUUUGCCCGUCGCCAGCACCCGGCUCCCCCACAGCCGGCCUCCGCCAGUCGCCAGCACUCGGCCUCCCCGCAGCCGGCCUCCGCACGGCCGUCCUCUCCCGCGCCUCGGCCCGCCUCCCCCGCCUCUGGCUGCGCCCAGUGCACUUGCCGUGCCGGCUCCCGCUGCUGCGGGCUGCUAUGA